RNAcentral lists this ribosomal RNA (460 nucleotides) under uncultured bacterium. Its description in RNAcentral is "partial 16S ribosomal RNA". It matches the Rfam family "Bacterial small subunit ribosomal RNA", at positions 338 to 795 of the family's 1533-position model. The record is from RNAcentral.
CCUACGGGCGGCAGCAGUGAGGAAUAUUGGUCACUGGGCGCGAGCCUGAACCAGCCAAGUAGCGUGAAGGAUGACUGCCCUCCGGGUUGUAAACUUCUUUUAUAAAGGAAUCAAGUGAGGCACGUGUGCCUUUUUGUCUGUACUUUAUGAAUAAGGAUCGGCUAACUCCGUGCCAGCAGCCGCGGUAAUACGGAGGAUCCGAGCGUUAUCCGGCUUUAUUGGUUUUAAAGGGAGCGUAGAUUGGUUGUUAAGUCAGUUGGGAAAGUUUGCGGCUCAACCGUAAAAUUGCAAUUGAUACUGGCAGCCUUGAGUACAGUUGAGGUAGUCGGAUGUCGUGGUGUAGCGGUGAAAUGCUUAGAUAUCACGAAGAACUCCGAUUGCGAAGGCAGCUUACUAAACUGCCACUGACAUUGAUGCUCGAAAGUGUGGGUAUCAAACAGGAUUAGAUACCCGAGUAGUC